This 82-nucleotide transfer RNA is filed under the name Patescibacteria group bacterium. RNAcentral describes it as "tRNA-Ser". It matches the Rfam family "tRNA". Rfam says of the family: Transfer RNA (tRNA) molecules are approximately 80 nucleotides in length. Their secondary structure includes four short double-helical elements and three loops (D, anti-codon, and T loops). Further hydrogen bonds mediate the characteristic L-shaped molecular structure. tRNAs have two regions of fundamental functional importance: the anti-codon, which is responsible for specific mRNA codon recognition, and the 3' end, to which the tRNAs corresponding amino acid is attached (by aminoacyl-tRNA synthetases). tRNAs cope with the degeneracy of the genetic code in two manners: having more than one tRNA (with a specific anti-codon) for a particular amino acid; and 'wobble' base-pairing, i.e. permitting non-standard base-pairing at the 3rd anti-codon position. The record is from RNAcentral.
GGAGGAGUCGGAUAAUGGUAUUCCACCGGUCUUGAAAACCGGCGCCCGAGAGGGCUUGCGGGUUCGAGUCCCGCCUCCUCCG